RNAcentral lists this ribosomal RNA (253 nucleotides) under uncultured bacterium. RNAcentral describes it as "partial 16S ribosomal RNA". It matches the Rfam family "Bacterial small subunit ribosomal RNA", at positions 524 to 776 of the family's 1533-position model. The record is from RNAcentral.
GACAGAGGGUGCAAACGUUGUUCGGAAUCACUGGGCGUAAAGCGCUUGUAGGCGGCAGUGCAAGUCGGAUGUGAAAUCCCGCGGCUCAACCGUGGAAGUGCACCCGAAACUGCACAGCUCGAGUGUCGGAGAGGAAGGUGGAAUGCUUGGUGUAGAGGUGAAAUUCGUAGAUAUCAAGCGGAACACCGGUGGCGAAGGCGGCCUUCUGGACGACAACUGACGCUGAGAAGCGAAAGCGUGGGUAGCAAACAGG